Molecule: long non-coding RNA, 5237 nt
Organism: Bubalus bubalis (water buffalo)
Lineage: Eukaryota; Metazoa; Chordata; Mammalia; Artiodactyla; Bovidae
Exons: 2
Source: RefSeq, a predicted model, not a curated record
GAGUCUUCUCCAGCACUACAGUUCAAAAGCAUCAAUUCUUUGGUGCUCUGCCUUCCUUAUGGUCCAACUCUCACAGCCAUAUGUGACUACUGGAAAAAUCAUAGCUUUGACCAGAUGGACAUUAUUAACCUUUUAUCAUGUAGCAGACUGCCUGGUUGAUAACAGGUAUGGUUGCCAUGGAGCCCCUGGUUUGUUUUGUUUGAAGUAUUAUUUUUCAAUGAAGUAGUUCAUGCUCCCAUGAGGAUCCAUAGGGAAAAUCAGGUAGGUUUCUAGGGUCCAUGGGGUUAUCUGUGCCUGGGGUGCUUCUCCAGGGUAGGGGAGGGUUUGCCAUCCUUGACAGCUCGGCCACCAUCAUGGAAGUGUGGCCAGCCGCUUAUCCACCUUGGAUGCGCCGUAGAUGAUGUAUCAUAAUCACGGCCGUGUGGCGGCUGAGAGACAGGCUCCAGCCAGUGUGUGCUGGCUCAUAGCGUUUUCCUGAUGGAUGGAGCCUAUUCUGGGAAGCAGCUUAUUGUCUCACGUGAACAGGCUUUCUAAAAUAAAUGACUGCUUUCUUAAUAUUUUGAAUCAUUUUCUUCAGCGCAUGUUUUGUAGCCGUGGUUUGAAAGCUUGCCAAAUAUAUGCCUUUGCACAGCUCCCUGUAGGGCUGGAUAUACAACCAGACCAAACAGUGUGAUUUAAGGUUGAACAUAAUUGGGAACUCGGCAAUCACUUGCCUUGCAUUUGAUAGAAUGGCAGCGGAGUGCUCUAGAGUUAUUCCUGUGUUAAAAAUUAUAUGCGUAACACAGAAGCGCACACACAUACAUAGUCUCACCACCUCAUAAUAAAGACAUCAUGCCUGAGACGAUUGGGCAAAAACAGUAGCUUGAUAAAUAAUUACUUGACUUUUGUGAUGGAGACAAUAAUUAACUUCAGACAGAUCCUAGUGUUGACACCACAGAUCUAUCUGAGGACUUUAGUCAAAUUAUAUAAGGAUGCAGGACAGAAAAAAAUCAGACAGUGGCAGAAAUACAUUUAAAAUACAAUCCUUUGUCAAGUUUUUCAUCAGUUGAUCUGCUCCUUGUUUCUGUGGACUUGAGCAGUUGAGCCAUAAACUUGGUAAACUUGAUGCUGCCUCCUUGUUCAAGGUAUUACAUUUCUUUUUUUUUUAUUUUAAUUUUUGGUCACACCGAGCAGCAUGUGAGAUCGUAGUUCCUUGAUCAGGGAUUGAAUCCAUGCCCCCUGCAGUGAAAGCGUGGAGUCUUAACCACUGGUCCACCAGGGAAGUCCCAGUUUUUACAUUUCAAACUCUGCUAUGUGUUUGUUAUCAUUGGAUUGCUGGUUACUUGUCAUCGAGACCUUAUUAUGUGCCUCGUGUGCUGGUGGAAAAAGGCCAUUAACAGCCCCACUCCCCAGAGCUCUUUGAAAAAUCACAUGUGAAAUCCAACAUUUAAUAGAGGGUAAUAGAGGGUGGAGAUGCACUGAGACCUCUGCUUUAUUCCUGGGCUGCGGGUGUUCUCCAGGCUUGUUGCUGGCAUUGAUACCACACUGGGGAAUGAGGUGAUGUCUGGAAGGAAUGCCUAAACUCCCCAAUGAUGGCAUCCCCCUGCCACAUAGCCACACAGCCUUCCCACCUCACUUGUAAGAGGACGUUAAUCUAGCAAGAGAAGGAAAUAAAGCUCAGAGAUAAAAAUUUGCCAUCACAAAUUAAGUGAAAUUUCUCCAAGGCUUUUGUUUUUUUUUAAUGAAAUUUUGAACACUUUCCAAUCAUUGAAAAGCACCUAUCCUUUGUAGUUUCAGACAAAGUAAUCUAACUCCAGAAUGUAACCUGUAUUUGCAAACAACAUGACUAUGAAAAAUCCUGGGGAAUAUAUGUAUUUGUGCCACAAGAAGGAAUGAGUGGAUUCAACAAGGCUGCAGGAUACAAAGUCAAUUGUAUUUUUAUAUAUUAAGGGGAGAAGGAAGAAAUUUAAUCAGUACCAUUUACAGUAGUUUCAAAAACAUCAAACACCUUAGAAUAAAACUGAGUAAAUGAGUGUAAGACUUCUCCACUGAAAACUACAAAACAUUGCUGAGAGAAAUGAGAGAUUUACGUAAAUGGUGGGCUCUACUGUGGAUUGAGAGAUUCAGUUUUGUUAAGAUUCAUUUUUUUCCUUAAAUUGAUUUAUGAAUUCUGUGCCAUCCCAGUCAAAAUUCAGACAAGCUGAUUAUAAAGUUUAUAUGGAAAUACAAAGGAGCUAGAAAAAUCAAAUCAAGUUUGAAAAGAACAAAGUUAGAAGAUUGUAUUGCCUGAUUUCAAGACUUCCUAUAAAGCGCCUGUAAUCAAGACAGUGUAGUAUUGUAGAGGGAUAGACACACAGAUCAAUGGGACAGAAUAGACAGUCCAGAAAUAGACCCACACAUACGUGGUCAAUUGAUUUCGACAAAGGUGCAAAGGCAAUUCAAUGGAGAAAGGAUGGUGUUUUCAACAAAUUAUAAUGGAACAAUGAGACAUUGUAUGCAAAAAACAUGAACCUCAACCCUUAUCUUGGACCAUAUAUAAAAAUGAACUCAAAACGGAUUAUAGGCCUAAGUUUAGAUUCUAAAACUUGAAAGUUUCCAGAAGAAAAAAAAAUUUUUUUUGUGACUUUGGAACAAGCAAAGAUUUCUUAGCACAAUCUGCAAGAGAAAGAAAAUGGAUUUCAGACUUCAUCAAAAUUUUAAAAUUCUGUUCUUCCAAAGAUACUGUUAAGACAGUGGAAAGACAAGCCACAGACUGGGAGGAAACUUUUGCAAAGCAUAUGUCUAAUACAGGACUUCUAUCCAGGACGUGUGAAGAACUCUUAAAACUCAAUAAAAUGAAAACAACCCAGUUUAAAAAUGGGCAAGAGAUUUGAAUAGACGCCUUAAAAUGUUUAAGAAAAUCUUAAAUCUGUACUUACAGUAUGACCCAGCAAUCCCACUGCUAGGUAUUUACCCAAGAGAAUGAGAAGUUAUGUCAACAGUGGCUUUAUUCGCGAUUUCUAGUAGCUGAAAACCCAAAUGUCAUUCAUUCAAGUGGUGAAUGAAUCACCAUCUUCCUUGGAAUACUGUCAGCAGUAAAAAGAAACUGAUACAACAUGGCCAGAUCUCACAAGCAUUCUUUGUAGUGAGAAGAAGCCAGACUCAACAGGAAAUCUUUUAUUUCCACAUAGUUCUACCUGAUAUUCUGGAAAAAGUAGAAUUAUUCAGAAAUAAAACAGAUCAGUGGUUGCUGGGGGUUGGAGAUGGAGGGGUGCUGGCUGAGAAAAGCACAUGGGAACUUUGGGGGAUGACAGAAAUCUACAUAUUUUGAUUAUGGUUGUGGUUCUACAACUCUGUCAGAAUGUAUACACCUAUGCACUUUGUGUAGGCACUUCACAAGAUCCCCAAAUGGGCAAUAGAGUAGACGCGUGGAAAGGUGCUCGACAUCUCACUCAUCAGGGAAUACAGAUUAAAAUCACCAUGAGAUACCACCUAUUAGAAUGGCUCAGAUGAGAAAGACCGCCAACAUCAAAUAUCGGUGAGAUUGUGGACUAUUACAAGCAUUCAGUGGUACAACAACCUCUUUGGAGACUUGUUUGGCACUUUUUAUGAAACUGAACAUCUGCACUGUGAUCCAGCAAUUCCACUACUUAGAAGAAAAUACACGUUCAUGAAAGGACUUGCAGAGGAAUGUUUAUAUAAAGCCCCAGGCUGGAAACAGCCCACAUAUCCAUCAUCUGAAAAUGGGGUAAAUAAAUUAUUAUCACAACGGUAUACCACUGAGCUAUAAGAAGAGUGAACUGCUGAUACAACCAUUUGGAUGGAUCUAGAAAACAAAAGAAGUACAAACCAGUCUGUGGUGGUUAAGUGGGCAGGGAGGGGAAGUUACUGGGAAGAGCCGGGAAGCUUCCUGGGUAAUGGAGAAGAAAGAACUAAAUGCGGAUUGGGGCUGUGAUCACCUGAGCACAGGUAGUUGUUAAAACUUGUGGAACAGAUUAAGAUCUGUACAUUGUAUUGUAUGUUAAUUAUAUGUUAGUGAAAGUAUUUUACGAGCUCACUCAACAUUUUAUUGAGUCCUGAUUUUUUUUUAGCCAUUCUGUUUGGUUAUCAUGAUGUGCCUUUCGCAUAACCCAUGUGUUUCUAUUUGGUACAUGUUGUUAAUGUUAUCCAGUAUUCUACUGGAGUUACGAGGGAAGGCUCAACUUCUGAUUGAUUGAUUUCACAUGGCUGAAAGCUUCAGGCCAUCAAGAGGAGAGGCACCUCAAGGGAUGCAGAUGGACCUGGUGUUGCAAGUCCCACCCGAGUGUCUGCGCUCUGGCCGCGGGAGCCCCUCACCUGCUCUGGGGCGUGAGCCCUUGGACUCAUCCACCAUCUCUUUGGACGAACAGGAAGGACCACUCUGGGAUAUGGAUGCCUUCCAGCGUCGAUGCUAAGAAGAGGGAUUGCCUGUUUAUGUCAUGUCCAAGUGGUCCUGGCAAUCCAACUCUCCCAGGCUUUUCCAGAGGAGGGGUGGGAAGGAGACUGGGGAGAAACCCACGCCCUUCCUGGAGUCUUCCCACAGGAGAUGGGAAGUCUGAUCUCCUUACAGAGGAAUUGUCUUCCACGCCAAGAACAGUCAUGUCUGCUCCUUCCUCGCUCCUGGGAGGGCUUUGGGUGGGCUGUGGUCCCUCUUCUGGCCUUAAAUGAAGUGGAACUUGGAGCCAGAGAAAGGACUCUAUUGUAGCUAGCUUCUACUCCACUGACACGGCAAGGAAGGACAGUCAGGGAUGUGGCCCCGCUGGAGCGGGCAUUUUUCACUGAUGCCUUUAAUAAUUACUAUUUAAGCAACAGAAGGCAGAGUGAGAUUGUCUCAAAGGCACACCAGAGCCACAGGAGUUUGGAAGUUGGCUCAGAAAUCUGCUUCCCCUCCCCACUUAGUGGCCAUUACUUCGAUGUAUUUUUUAUUUCAUUUUCCCUCCCCCUGGUUUUUGAGCACGGCAGUCUUCUCCCUAAAGGGAGUGGGGGAGGAAGGUGUUCUGUGAAAUAUUCUCACACAGUUAUUAUUUGCCUGGGGCCAGCGCAGGUUUCUUCAGUAAAUCAAAAUAUGCAUUUUAGCGAAGUUGAAAACCUCCCUGGCUGAGCCGCUGCAGGUGACAGAGGCGGAGCGGAGGUGACCCACGAGGAGGUGGGGGCUGGCGCUGUCUGUACGCUGUCAGGGUCCCUGGGGCAGGGGGAAGAGGAAAUAGAGACGUCAAUUUUAGGCCUCAAUAUUUAAAUAUUUUUGAUUUGUCUGCUCUAUU